UUGUGAGUGAGAUCUCAAAUCCCAACAGAGCAAACCACAACCAGAAGCUUAUUGAAGCCUUGCCAUCUCUUCUUUCUUUCUUCCUUCUGCGAGGCUACAACCGAGAAGAGAAUGGCAAUGGCAAAGAGGGAGAAGAAGCUGCAGUGCCCAACUUUUGCCCGCCGAUGCCGGUUGUUAGUGAAAGAACAGAGGGCGAAGUUCUACAUUCUUCGGAGAUGCAUUAUGAUGCUAAUUUGCUGGAGUGAAAGUGAAGAUCUUUGAUGGCAUGAAAUGUGCUCAUUUAUGUAUAGAGCGAAGAGAUGAGAUAUAUCUGUAGAUGGGGUCUAGUAGUUGGUAUAUGUAGAUACACUUUAGCUCUGAAAUUUGGGUCUCCGGAAGCCACACAGCUCAUGUAUAUCAUGAAACAUAAUCAUUGAAGAAAUAUGUUGUUUGUUGCUGAUUUUGUUUUGCUUUUCUGAUAUGGCUGCUUUAGAGUCAACUCCAGCUUGCAUUAUCUUAUUGAUAGAGAGGUCAUACAUUAUUUUGGUAAACCUAAAAUCAUGGCUCCUCAAAGUUUACAGCUUGUUUAUAUCAUGAAGCAGAUUAAACUAAGGAAUAUGGUGCCUGAUACUUCUGUUGUGCAGAUUGAAGAUUGUGGUGGAAUAUUUCUGCCGUUUUGUCUUUUGAUUCAUGCAAAAACUUUUUUCUUUGACUUCUCUGUUGUUAUUCUUGACGACAACUCAGUAACUCUCACUGCAUGUGUUCAGAGAAGAUUGAAGAUUGUGGUGUUCUUUAUGGAAAGUUGGGAACUCUUUCUUCGUGCUAAAUAUGAGGUUUGAAGCUGAAACGAUUCAUUUUCUUGAGAGGAUGAACCACAGAUGGUGAUGCUUCCAAAGGUAAAACCAAGUUUCUAGAAUGAGAAUAGUUAUAUCCACUAAUUUUCAUUCUUAUUUUUUUUUCUUAAUCUUCUUGUCAAAAACAACAAUCCCUUUAUGCAUGACUGACAGUCAAUAUCCAAAAUAAAUGACAAGAACUGCAACUCUGAGCCGAGGAUCUGUACAGAGAUCGAACUGGACAUCGUUCGUCUUGAGCCUAGCUUCGGCAGUUCAGCAUAUAUUUUUAGUUUUUACCUUUUAAACCACAUCUUCGAUUCUAUUAAUUAUCUCAGGUGCUGAUACGCAGUGGAAGAGAAUUGAAAGGAAACGAAAGCUAAUGUUCAAUCAUUGUUAGUGCUUUAUCACCCAAACUUUUGUUUUUCUUUUUUACUUUAUGUCUACGCAGUCAGUCAAUAUAUAGUUUAAUGCAAUAAAUACAGCUUUAUUGUGAAUGAUUCGAUCACCAUUUAUUGAAUCCACUACCAUGGUGCGAAUCAUUGGCACGAGGAUAGGAGGAUAUAUAGUGUUUGCAAAAUUAAACUAUUUUCAAUUUCAUAACAAAAGUAUCAUCCUUUCUUCUAAUCACCACCAAGAUUAAUUAUGUGAAGAUUACAAGUUAGAGACGGUAGAGCACUAGAAAUUAAACUCAUCCAAAGAAGAAAGGGCUGUCUGCAUGGAAAUUUCUAUGUGCAAUAUCGGAAACGCGAGACGUACACGAAGUGGAAGCCGGCCGACAGUAGGAAUCAUUGAAAUGGUCAGAGCGGCUUAUCGGUACACAUAAUCACACUGGGCUGGCUACUCGAUCAACCACGGUAUCUCAAAUUCGUUUUUCCUUUUCGAAAUGAAAGAUUCCCUCUUCAGUCAAUUAUGGGACGCAGUGUUUCCUUCUUCAUGGCCGAAAGGGAGACAUGGAGUGCUAUUCCACGUGCAGACGACAGGUGAAUCGGGUACUGCAUGUGGAGAUGAGGACGAGGUUGCACCAAUUAAGGGAGAAGGGUGGCCUGUUGCAGGAGAUGAGGAGUCCCAGUGCAAUUAAUUGCUUCACUGUUUCACGCGUAGGAGAAGGUAUGAUUAAUUAAUUAAUUAAUUAAUGGCUGAUCAGUCAGAGUAGUGCGACUCCAACAGCUCCAGAGAUGUGAAAGGGUCGAAAAUGGCAGAGGCAUACAAAGCGGGAGGGAAUCAGGUCAGCUAGCUGCAUGGCAUCAGCCGUCAGGCUCAUGCUUUACUCUGAUGUUUCUCUUUCAUGCAAGUCGAGAGCAACAUGGUGGGGAAAUGGCCGUGUGUGUAUCAUUCAAUGGGUUGGCAGGAGCAGGAUAGCAGAUGCACGUGUGGGGUGGGGGCGCCGUGAAUAAGACUCGCGUCGAGAUGUCAGAGUCAUCCGGUGGAGGUCGAUCGAAAAUUUUCGACCGAUUUUCAUGGAUCGACCUUAGAAAAUUCGAAUCUGUAUGGGUGCGUUUUGCUUUGGCCUGAUGACACUGGCAGUUGAGCA
Molecule: RNA transcript, 2343 nt
Organism: Zingiber officinale
Lineage: Eukaryota; Viridiplantae; Streptophyta; Magnoliopsida; Zingiberales; Zingiberaceae
Exons: 3
Source: RefSeq, a predicted model, not a curated record